Molecule: ribosomal RNA, 495 nt
Filed under: uncultured bacterium
Lineage: Bacteria
Description: partial 16S ribosomal RNA
Rfam family: Bacterial small subunit ribosomal RNA
Source: RNAcentral
GACGAACGCUGGCGGCGUGCCUAAUACAUGCAAGUAGAACGCUGAAGGAGGAGCUUGCUUCUCUGGAUGAGUUGCGAACGGGUGAGUAACGCGUAGGUAACCUGCCUGGUAGCGGGGGAUAACUAUUGGAAACGAUAGCUAAUACCGCAUAAGAGUAGAUGUUGCAUGACAUUUACUUAAAAGGUGCAAUUGCAUCACUACCAGAUGGACCUGCGUUGUAUUAGCUAGUUGGUGAGGUAACGGCUCACCAAGGCAACGAUACAUAGCCGACCUGAGAGGGUGAUCGGCCACACUGGGACUGAGACACGGCCCAGACUCCUACGGGAGGCAGCAGUAGGGAAUCUUCGGCAAUGGACGGAAGUCUGACCGAGCAACGCCGCGUGAGUGAAGAAGGUUUUCGGAUCGUAAGGCUCUGUUGUAAGAGAAGAACGAGUGUGAGAGUGGAAAGUUCACACUGUGACGGUAUCUUACCAGAAAGGGACGGCUAACUACGUG